This 69-nucleotide transfer RNA is filed under the name Xanthomonas citri pv. malvacearum str. GSPB2388. RNAcentral's name for it is "tRNA-OTHER". Lineage: Bacteria; Pseudomonadati; Pseudomonadota; Gammaproteobacteria; Lysobacterales; Lysobacteraceae. The record is from RNAcentral.
GAUUCGUAAGCUCAGUAGUGCUAACUCUUAAUCAAUAGGUCCAAGGUUCGAAUCCUUGACGGCCCACCA